This 458-nucleotide long non-coding RNA is filed under the name Nicotiana tabacum (common tobacco). RNAcentral describes it as "long non-coding RNA (NTAB_LNC016194)". The record is from RNAcentral. Lineage: Eukaryota; Viridiplantae; Streptophyta; Magnoliopsida; Solanales; Solanaceae.
AAUAACUAAAUUAAAAUUUCUUCAUUUCUUCCAAUGCUUUCAUCUUGCUCAAGCUCAUUCUUUGGAAGCAGACCAAAUCAAAAUCACCACACAACCUAAAUUCCACCUUCCUCAAAUCACCAGACAACUUAAAUUCCACCUUCCUCAAAUCACCAGCAAACCUAAAUUCCCAAAUCCCCAAAUCUAUUUGUUAACCAAAAAUCCCUAAAAUUGCUAACCCAAAACUCCCAAAUCCCUAAAGUCCCGAACUCUAUUUGUUUUACUCGAAGGAAGAGAGGAAAAAUCACCGUAAACGUCGCUACGAUCAGGUUUCCCCCUCCCCCUCCCCCCCCCCCCCGCCAACCCCUCUCUUCCAUCAAUCCUCUCUUUUUUUUCUCUAGUUAUGUUUUUUCUUUUUGCGAUUCUCUCUGGCAACCAGAAGAUUCAGAAUUUGAGAUCUCCAGAUCAAGAUUCUUCAU